RNAcentral lists this ribosomal RNA (162 nucleotides) under Uncaria sp. Harder et al. 4242. RNAcentral describes it as "5.8S ribosomal RNA". It matches the Rfam family "5.8S ribosomal RNA". Rfam says of the family: 5.8S ribosomal RNA (5.8S rRNA) is a component of the large subunit of the eukaryotic ribosome. It is transcribed by RNA polymerase I as part of the 45S precursor that also contains 18S and 28S rRNA. The record is from RNAcentral. Lineage: Eukaryota; Viridiplantae; Streptophyta; Magnoliopsida; Gentianales; Rubiaceae.
CAAACGACUCUCGGCAACGGAUAUCUCGGCUCUCGCAUCGAUGAAGAACGUAGCGAAAUGCGAUACUUGGUGUGAUUGCAGAAUCCCGUGAACCAUCGAGUCUUUGAACGCAAGUUGCGCCCGAAGCCAUCAGGCCUAGGGCACGUCUGCCUGGGCGUCACG